CAUGGCUGGAUAGAUGGGAGACAAAAAAAAAAAACAAAAAACAUCUCUUUUCUUGAAUAUAUUUUACCUCUUCCCAACACCUGGAGAGCUUUAGGUGCCCAAGUUCAUCCCCACUUUAUCCCGGGGAAGAAACUUCUCAGCGCUUCAAACCUUUGAGGAAAAAUUGCAUUUCUAUUUCUCGGUACAGAAAUCGUACAGAAGAUUUGCGCGGCAAACGCACAGAAAGGAUCUGAGUUUUAUGUUAUACCCAUUUAGUCCGCUGAGUGAAUUCUCUGCUUCUUGACCUCAUGAGGGUCCACAAGGGUUGAUGCCUCCAGACAAUCAUCUCCUUAUGAAUCAGCCCUUCCAAAGUCAUUGCUCCCGGGAAUCUCUCCCCCAAAAGGAAAGCACGCAAAAGAUCAUGCUGCCUUUUCAUCUUCCUCAGGCCCUGCAUCCCCCCCAAACGAUCCCUGUGGUCUGUCAGGGAGGGCACUGAACCCCUCGACAGCCGGGAUUUCGGAGCUUCCGGAGGCACAGCGAGGUAGAAAUGCAAGAGAUAAAA
Pipra filicauda (Wire-tailed manakin) is the source of this 541-nucleotide long non-coding RNA. RefSeq lists it as uncharacterized. The transcript has 3 exons. The record is from RefSeq and is a predicted model, not a curated record. Lineage: Eukaryota; Metazoa; Chordata; Aves; Passeriformes; Pipridae.